RNAcentral lists this non-coding RNA (253 nucleotides) under Methylobacterium mesophilicum. RNAcentral describes it as "partial 16S ribosomal RNA". It matches the Rfam family "Bacterial small subunit ribosomal RNA", at positions 524 to 776 of the family's 1533-position model. The record is from RNAcentral. RNAcentral also lists the same sequence under 7 other names. Lineage: Bacteria; Pseudomonadati; Pseudomonadota; Alphaproteobacteria; Hyphomicrobiales; Methylobacteriaceae.
UACGAAGGGGGCUAGCGUUGCUCGGAAUCACUGGGCGUAAAGGGCGCGUAGGCGGCGUUUUAAGUCGGGGGUGAAAGCCUGUGGCUCAACCACAGAAUGGCCUUCGAUACUGGGACGCUUGAGUAUGGUAGAGGUUGGUGGAACUGCGAGUGUAGAGGUGAAAUUCGUAGAUAUUCGCAAGAACACCGGUGGCGAAGGCGGCCAACUGGACCAUUACUGACGCUGAGGCGCGAAAGCGUGGGGAGCAAACAGG